Molecule: ribosomal RNA, 250 nt
Filed under: uncultured bacterium
Lineage: Bacteria
Description: partial 16S ribosomal RNA
Rfam family: Bacterial small subunit ribosomal RNA
Source: RNAcentral
GACAGAGGGUGCAAACGUUGUUCGGAAUUACUGGGCGUAAAGCGCAUGUAGGCGGCCUAGCAGGUCGGAUGUGAAAUCCCUCGGCUCAACCAAGGAAGUGCAUUCGAAACCGCAAGGCUGGAGUCCCGGAGAGGAUGGUGGAAUUCUCGGUGUAGAGGUGAAAUUCGUAGAUAUCGAGAGGAACACCGGCGGCGAAGGCGGCCAUCUGGACGAGGACUGACGCUGAGAUGCGAAAGCGUGGGGAGCAAAC